Molecule: ribosomal RNA, 206 nt
Filed under: Clostridioides difficile
Lineage: Bacteria; Bacillati; Bacillota; Clostridia; Peptostreptococcales; Peptostreptococcaceae
Description: partial 23S ribosomal RNA
Rfam family: Bacterial large subunit ribosomal RNA
Source: RNAcentral
CUCAUUCAAAGAGUGCGUAAUAGCUCACUGGUCGAGUGAUCCUGCGCCGAAGAUUUCCGGGGCUAAAACUUACUACCGAAGCUACGGCAUCAGUAAUGAUGGGGAGGGGAGCUUCCCAUACGGGUUGAAGCAUGACCGUAAGGACAUGUGGACAGUAUGGGAGGGAGAAUGUUGGCAUGAGUAGCGAGAUGUGGGUGAGAAUCCCA